Doryrhamphus excisus (bluestripe pipefish) is the source of this 1454-nucleotide non-coding RNA. The record is from RefSeq and is a predicted model, not a curated record. NCBI's taxonomy places the organism in Eukaryota, Metazoa, Chordata, Actinopteri, Syngnathiformes, Syngnathidae.
CGUCACCUUCAAUUGCUACUUCAUGGUUGUUAUACCAUUGCGUCUGAUGUACUGCUCAAUAUAUGGGAAGGAUAGUCAAUCCGCGGCAUUCGCUAAGCAUGCUGUUGGGGUCUUUGCUGGACUUGUGGACCACAGCACGCAACACUCUGACCACGCUGGAACUGAGCAGAGCUGCGAUGGCUGAAAGAAGUUGAUUUCAUUAUCAGGCAUCAUUAUCAUGACAUUGUGAGUGUGACAGUGCCCUCUCCUGGUACAUACUGUAUGUACACAUGAUGUGUAUUUGUGUCAAAGUACCUUCGUUGCGGCUCAGCUCGAUGUCUGCGAACAGUCCGAUCUUGAUAAUCUGCCAGAGGAGUCCAAGCACCAGAUGAGGUUUCCCCUCCUUGAGAUCUUGAGCGCCAAUGUUGACAACUUGACAGCCGAUGGCUGAGGCGGAGUUCAGAGCCAAGUUCAGAUUCUCCUGUUGAGGACAAAAGGAAGACAUCCAGUCCAAGACUGUUCACUUCCAAAGACAUUUCACCCCCAAAACGGGCAUCAGUGUUGAAAUUUGUUUUAUGAAAAACAAAGAAAGCAACAAAUAAAGUUAUUUUUUGGAAAAUUAGAUUACUGACAAAAGUUGUAAUGUUACAAGAAUAAAGUCUAAAUAUGGCAAUAAUGUCAUAAUUACAAGAAUAACAUUUACAAGACCAAAGUAUGAAAUAGUUGGAAGAAAGAAAAGUGAGUUCAAAUAUUAAUUACAGUCUUUCCCCGCUACAUGGACUCUAAUGUGGUUUUUCAAAAAUGUAUUCAUAAGUGGUCUCUGUUUCAUGGUUGACUAUUAUUAGUGAAAAAUAUUGAAAGCGAAGUUAUAUAUAGUACUCUAAAUUGUCCAUAGGUAUGAAUAUCAAUGUCAAUGGUUAUUAGUCUGUGAACAAAAACUCUCUCCCAUUCCAUGUGGAAGUGGUACGCUUUUGGCCACUUAUUUUGUCCUUCUGAGAUGGGAGUUUUUUGUUGCCAUAUACUGUAUGUAACUCCUUAGCAUAAGUUGCCCCUGGCAUACUUUCAUUUUUCAGUUUGUGGCACUCACUGGACAGCGCUGGUCUAGGGCCUAACUAGUGACUCGAUUAAUCAAAACAAGCAUAGAAAAUAGAAAAUGCAUGCGGGUCAUUUUUGACCCACUUAUGGAAGGUUGGAGAAGUAACCCAAAAACUAAAAUUUCUUAAAAUGUAUAAAAGGUACGUUAAAAAUGUGAAUGGCAAGAUAUUAAAAACAUGUUUUUUUUAAAGGAAUACCUGGAAUAUGAAAUGAUGAAAAAUUUUCAUUACGAAGAUAUUUCAAGAAAACAACCUGACCAGGUCAUUUUUGACCCACAGAUAUGGAUGCUGUAUGUUAUCAUGUACCCAGAAAAAAUUAUUACGUUUGAUUAAUGUUCAUGUUAAAGGUUAAAUAACUGUUAAUAGUUAUCCUCCCUAUCC